GGAUGUGAGGGCAAUCUGGCUGCGACAUCUGUCACCCAUUGCUCUCCAGGGUUGAUUCUGCUGAUCUGGCUGGGCCUUCCUCGAGUAGACGGACUGGUCUUCGGUCGAGGGUAUAUGAGUAGCUGCGCUCCCCUACUAGAACCUCCAAACAAAGUCUCAAGGAUAUUAUAUCAUCUUUAUAAUUCUACAAAAGGAAAAAAUCCCCAUGCUUUGAUAAAGGUAUGAAUUCACUUCAUGAAUGAGCAGCUUUUUGACAGAAGUAGGAGUUAUUUU
This 273-nucleotide small nuclear RNA is filed under the name Erinaceus europaeus (western European hedgehog). Its description in RNAcentral is "7SK RNA". It matches the Rfam family "7SK RNA". Rfam says of the family: 7SK was discovered as an abundant small nuclear RNA in the mid-70s but a possible function has only recently been suggested. Two independent studies have found that 7SK RNA binds the CDK9/cyclin T complex (known as elongation factor P-TEFb). P-TEFb activates transcription by phosphorylating the C-terminal domain of RNA polymerase II. Lineage: Eukaryota; Metazoa; Chordata; Mammalia; Eulipotyphla; Erinaceidae. The record is from Rfam by way of RNAcentral.